GAGCCGGUAGCUCAGCUGGCAGAGCAGGGGACUUUUAAUCCCAAGGUCGUGGGUUCGAAUCCCACCCGGCUCA
RNAcentral lists this transfer RNA (73 nucleotides) under Pseudomonadota bacterium. RNAcentral describes it as "tRNA-Lys". It matches the Rfam family "tRNA". From Rfam's summary of the family: Transfer RNA (tRNA) molecules are approximately 80 nucleotides in length. Their secondary structure includes four short double-helical elements and three loops (D, anti-codon, and T loops). RNAcentral also lists the same sequence under 1 other name. The record is from RNAcentral. Lineage: Bacteria; Pseudomonadati; Pseudomonadota.